Molecule: long non-coding RNA, 337 nt
Organism: Vicia villosa (hairy vetch)
Lineage: Eukaryota; Viridiplantae; Streptophyta; Magnoliopsida; Fabales; Fabaceae
Exons: 3
Source: RefSeq, a predicted model, not a curated record
CUUUGCAGCAAGUGGCCUCGGAGCAUGGCCUUAUUUUGGUAGACACUAAAUAUGAAUUUGGGAAGGCAAAUGAUGGAUCAAUUCUAUUGAUUGAUGAGGUCCAUACUCCUGAUUCAAGUAGAUAUUGGAUUGCCAAUUCUUACUUGGAGCGCUUUCAAAAUGGUCUUGGGCCUGAAAAUGUUGAUAAGGAGUUCUUGAGGCUGUGGUUCAAAAGUCACUGCAACCCUUAUGAAGAUGAGGUAAUUUACACUUUCUACUGCUAAUGAAUUAGCUUGUAGCUUUUAAAUAUGCAUCAAAUCACAUGGGUGGCUUUUAUUUAGGUCCUCCCCGAUGCUCC